AGUGACCGCUGGCGGUGUGCUUAACACAUGCAAUUCGAACGGACUUUAAGGUGCUUGCUUCUUAAAGUUAGUGGCGCACGGGUGAGUCAUGUCUAGCUAACCUGCCCUUAAGUGGGGGACAACAGUUGGACACGACUGCUAUUCCCCCAUACUCCAUCUUCUCAUAAGGUAAGAUGGGAACGAUUUCUUGCUAAGGGAUGGGGCAUUAUGGUAUCAGCUAAUUGGUGGGGUACCGGCCUACCAAGGCAAUGACGCCUACCUGGUCUGAGAGGAUGAUCAGGCACACUGGAACUGAGACACGGUCCAGACUCCUACGGGAGGCAGCAGUGGGGAAUAUUGCACAAUGGAGGAAACUCUGAUGCAGCAACGCCGCGUGGAGGAUGACGCAUUUCGGUGUGUAAACACCUUUUAUAAGGGAAGGUAAUGACGGUACCUUAUGAAUAAGCACCAGCUAACUCCGUGCCAGCAGCCGCCGCAG
This 478-nucleotide ribosomal RNA is filed under the name uncultured bacterium. Its description in RNAcentral is "partial 16S ribosomal RNA". It matches the Rfam family "Bacterial small subunit ribosomal RNA", at positions 29 to 523 of the family's 1533-position model. The record is from RNAcentral.